GUUUCUGUGGCCUAGUGGUUAUGGCGCAUGUCUUACAUAAUAGUCCUUCCUAAGGAUAUAUCUAAGAUCACAUGAGAUCCCCGGUUCGAUCCCGGGCAGAAACA
This is a non-coding RNA of Xylaria venustula, 104 nucleotides long. The record is from the annotation of a GenBank genome assembly. NCBI's taxonomy places the organism in Eukaryota, Fungi, Ascomycota, Sordariomycetes, Xylariales, Xylariaceae.